This 71-nucleotide transfer RNA is filed under the name Heliconius melpomene (postman butterfly). Its description in RNAcentral is "tRNA HMEL006413". It matches the Rfam family "tRNA". Rfam says of the family: Transfer RNA (tRNA) molecules are approximately 80 nucleotides in length. Their secondary structure includes four short double-helical elements and three loops (D, anti-codon, and T loops). The record is from RNAcentral. Lineage: Eukaryota; Metazoa; Arthropoda; Insecta; Lepidoptera; Nymphalidae.
GAACGUAUGGCUUAGUGGUCAGAGCGCCUGGUCGGGUUCCAUGAGGCGCGGCUUCGAGUCCGCUACGUUCA